GCCUGAGUGGUGGAAUGGUAUACACGCGACACUUAAAAUGUCGUUCGCUCUGCGAUUGUGGGUUCGAGUCCCGCCUCAGGCA
RNAcentral lists this transfer RNA (82 nucleotides) under Candidatus Vogelbacteria bacterium RIFOXYD2_FULL_44_9. Its description in RNAcentral is "tRNA-Leu". It matches the Rfam family "tRNA". From Rfam's summary of the family: Transfer RNA (tRNA) molecules are approximately 80 nucleotides in length. Their secondary structure includes four short double-helical elements and three loops (D, anti-codon, and T loops). The record is from RNAcentral. Lineage: Bacteria; Candidatus Vogeliibacteriota.